UUGAUCCUGGCUCAGAAUCAACGCUGGCGGCGUGCCUAACACAUGCAAGUCGAACGCGAAAGUCCCGCAAGGGAUAAGUAGAGUGGCAAACGGGUGAGUUUCGCGUGGGUGACCUACCUCUGAGUGGGGGAUAACAUUCCGAAAGGAGUUCUAAUACCGCAUGGCAUCCUGUCUUUAGACAGAUGGAGAUCAAAGCCGGUGAUCGCAAGACCUGGCGCUUAGAGAAGGGCCCGCGUCCGAUUAGCUAGUUGGUGAGGUAACGGCUCACCAAGGCUCCGAUCGGUAGCCGGCCUGAGAGGUCGGACGGCCACACUGGGACUGAGACACGGCCCAGACUCCUACGGGAGGCUGCAGUGGGGAAUUGUUCGCAAUGGGCGCAAGCCUGACGACGCAACGCCGUGUGGAGGAUGAAGACCUUCGGGUCGUAAACUCCUUUCGACCGAGAUGAAUACCUGCCGACCUAACACGCCGGCAGGCUGACAGUAUCGAGGGAAGAAGCUCCGGCUAACUCUGUGCCAGCAGCCGCGGUAAUAAGGU
RNAcentral lists this ribosomal RNA (537 nucleotides) under uncultured Acidobacteriota bacterium. RNAcentral describes it as "bacterial SSU rRNA". It matches the Rfam family "Bacterial small subunit ribosomal RNA", at positions 13 to 529 of the family's 1533-position model. The record is from RNAcentral. Lineage: Bacteria; Pseudomonadati; Acidobacteriota.